This is a non-coding RNA of Populus trichocarpa (black cottonwood), 153 nucleotides long. The record is from Rfam. Lineage: Eukaryota; Viridiplantae; Streptophyta; Magnoliopsida; Malpighiales; Salicaceae.
UUUAGAACUUAAGAUAUGGGCUGAAUACUAAAUAAUAUCUAGGUUGCAAGAUAGAUUCAGAUUUCUCUUUUGUUACUAGAGUUUGAACUUAAAAAUGGUAGUAUUGAAUCUUGUCUUCAUUAAUAUUAUAGGUCUACGUCUUAGCUUUCCAUC